AGACCCGAAACCCGGUGAUCUAGCCAUGGGCAGGUUGAAGGUUGGGUAACACUAACUGGAGGACCGAACCGACUAAUGUUGAAAAAUUAGCGGAUGACCUGUGGCUGGGGGUGAAAGGCCAAUCAAACCGGGAGAUAGCUGGUUCUCCCCGAAAGCUAUUUAGGUAGCGCCUCGUGAAUUCAUCUCCGGGGGUAGAGCACUGUUUCGGCUAGGGGGCCAUCCCGGCUUACCAACCCGAUGCAAACUGCGAAUACCGGAGAAUGUUAUCACGGGAGACACACGGCGGGUGCUAACGUCCGUCGUGAAGAGGGAAACAACCCAGACCGCCAGCUAAGGUCCCAAAGUCAUGGUUAAGUGGGAAACGAUGUGGGAAGGCCCAGACAGCCAGGAUGUUGGCUUAGAAGCAGCCAUCAUUUAAAGAAAGCGUAAUAGCUCACUGGUCGAGUCGGCCUGCGCGGAAGAUGUAACGGGGCUAAACCAUGCACCGAAGCUGCGGCAGCGAACGUAUCACCCAAGACAACUUUGCGGAGUUGACGAUUGACGGAGCGAAGCGACGUCAAAGCGUUCAUUAAAGUCGAGUUGGCUUAGGGAUACGUUCGUUGGGUAGGGGAGCGUUCUGUAAGCCUGUGAAGGUGGCCUGUGAGGGUUGCUGGAGGUAUCAGAAGUGCGAAUGCUGACAUAAG
Molecule: ribosomal RNA, 683 nt
Filed under: Salmonella enterica
Lineage: Bacteria; Pseudomonadati; Pseudomonadota; Gammaproteobacteria; Enterobacterales; Enterobacteriaceae
Description: partial 23S ribosomal RNA
Rfam family: Bacterial large subunit ribosomal RNA
Source: RNAcentral